Molecule: long non-coding RNA, 1541 nt
Filed under: Numida meleagris (helmeted guineafowl)
Lineage: Eukaryota; Metazoa; Chordata; Aves; Galliformes; Numididae
Description: lncRNA (ENSNMEG00000002742.1)
Source: RNAcentral
UGUUGGUGUCACGGUGAUGCCGGUUCUGGCCCCAGUUCCAGUUCCAGUUCCAGUGUCAGUGUCAUGGUGGUGUCGGUUCUGGUUCUGGUGCCAGUUCCAGUUCCGGUUCUGGUUCCAGUUCCAGCUCUGGUUCCGGUUCCGGUUCCGGUUGCGGUUGUGCUCAGGCGUGCAGGCAGCGGUUGAAGGCGUUGUAGGCCGACUCGAGGUCGAAGAGCAGCUGCCGCACCUGGGCAUCGUCCAGCUCGUCCGACGCCGACAUGGCGCUCAGCGUCUGCAGCCUCCGCCCCGCAAACAACGCCGCCGCUCAGCACCGCGACCCACGGCCGCGACCCACGGCGACCCACAGCCGCGACCCACAACCGGGACCCGCAACCGGGACCCGCAACCGGGACCCGCAACCGGGACCCGCAACCGGGACCCGCAACCGGGACCCGCAACCGGGACCCGCAGCUCGUCCGACGCCGACACGGCGCUCAGCGUCUGCAGCUUCCAGCCCCGCAAACCCCACAAAGGCGCCCCUGACCCCAUAGGGACCCCAUAAAGUCCCCAUAAAGACCCCAUCGACCCCAUAAGGACCCCAUAAAGACUCCCCCGACCUCAGAAGGAUCCCAUACAGACUCCCCCAAUCGCAUAAGGACCCCAUAAAGACCCCAUAAAGACCUCCCAACCCCAGAAGGAAGGACCCCAUAAAGACCCCCCUAGGGACCCCCCUGCCCCCAUAGGGACCCCAUAAAGACCCCCUCGACCCCAUAAGGACCCCAUAAGGACCCCCCUGACCCCAGAAGGACCCCAUAAAGACUCCCCCAAUCCCAUAAGGACCCCAUAAGGCCCCCCCCCGAGCGCUGACCAGUGCAGGACGCGGUGGCGGCCCUCGAAGUCGGCGGGCAGGGCGCUCAUGCGGUUCAUGGUCUCCAGCAGCUCCCGCAGGUCCGGCUGGAUCUGGGCCGGCGGGGGUCAAAGGUCAGGGGUCAAAGGUCAGGGGUCACAGGGUCAAGGGUCACCAGGGCAGGGGUCACGGGGUCUAUGGGGGCGAGGGUCAGGGGGUGACACGGAAGCGAUGGGGUCAGGGCAGAUAUGGGGUAAGGGGUCACGGGGUCUAUGGGGUCAGGGGGUCAUGGGGUUCUGGGGUCGCAGGGGUUAUGGGGUCACUAUGGGGUUAUGGGCGUUUAGGGGUCACGGUAAUGGGGUCUAUGGGGAAGGCAGUUAUGGGGUCACACAGAAGCUGUGGGGUCAGGGCAGAUAUGGGGUAAGGGGUCAUGGGGCCACAGGGGUUAUGGGGUCUAUGGGGUCAGGCGUUAUGGGGUCACGGGAUUAAAGUGGUUAUGGAGAUGCGGGGUUAUGGGGUCACAAUGGUUAUGGGGUCACACAGAGGCUGUAGGAUCAGGGUAGAUACGGGGUCACAGAUCACACAGAUUAUGGGGUCACAGGGUUGCAGGGGUUAUGGGGUCUAUGGGGAACGGGGUUAUGGGAUCAGGGGUUAUGGGGUCACGGGGUCAAGGGUUAUGGGGUCAAGGGGUUGCAGGGGUUAUGGGGUCUAUGGG